RNAcentral lists this ribosomal RNA (827 nucleotides) under Streptomyces rochei. RNAcentral describes it as "bacterial SSU rRNA". The record is from RNAcentral. Lineage: Bacteria; Bacillati; Actinomycetota; Actinomycetes; Kitasatosporales; Streptomycetaceae.
UGCAAGUCGAACGAUGAACCACUUCGGUGGGGAUUAGUGGCGAACGGGUGAGUAACACGUGGGCAAUCUGCCCUGCACUCUGGGACAAGCCCUGGAAACGGGGUCUAAUACCGGAUACUGAUCCUCGCAGGCAUCUGCGAGGUUCGAAAGCUCCGGCGGUGCAGGAUGAGCCCGCGGCCUAUCAGCUWGUUGGUGAGGUAACGGCUCACCAAGGCGACGACGGGUAGCCGGCCUGAGAGGGCGACCGGCCACACUGGGACUGAGACACGGCCCAGACUCCUACGGGAGGCAGCAGUGGGGAAUAUUGCACAAUGGGCGAAAGCCUGAUGCAGCGACGCCGCGUGAGGGAUGACGGCCUUCGGGUUGUAAACCUCUUUCAGCAGGGAAGAAGCGAAAGUGACGGUACCUGCAGAAGAAGCGCCGGCUAACUACGUGCCAGCAGCCGCGGUAAUACGUAGGGCGCAAGCGUUGUCCGGAAUUAUUGGGCGUAAAGAGCUCGUAGGCGGCUUGUCACGUCGGUUGUGAAAGCCCGGGGCUUAACCCCGGGUCUGCAGUCGAUACGGGCAGGCUAGAGUUCGGUAGGGGAGAUCGGAAUUCCUGGUGUAGCGGUGAAAUGCGCAGAUAUCAGGAGGAACACCGGUGGCGAAGGCGGAUCUCUGGGCCGAUACUGACGCUGAGGAGCGAAAGCGUGGGGAGCGAACAGGAUUAGAUACCCUGGUAGUCCACGCCGUAAACGGUGGGCACUAGGUGUGGGCAACAUUCCACGUUGUCCGUGCCGCAGCUAACGCAUUAAGUGCCCCGCCUGGGGAGUACGGCCGCAAGGCUAA